Molecule: unclassified non-coding RNA, 307 nt
Filed under: plant metagenome
Description: partial contains 5.8S ribosomal RNA, internal transcribed spacer 2, and large subunit ribosomal RNA
Rfam family: 5.8S ribosomal RNA (bases 1-105)
Source: RNAcentral
GAAAUGCGAUAAGUAGUGUGAAUUGCAGAAUUUAGCGAAUCAUCGAAUCUUUGAACGCACAUUGCGCCCCUUGGUAUUCCAUGGGGCAUGCCUGUUCGAGCGUCAUUUCAACCCUCAAGCGCUGCUUGGUGUUGGGCGUUUGUCCCGCCUACGCGCGUGGACUCGCCUCAAAGUCAUUGGCAGCUGUUCCCCUUCGGCUCGUAAGCGCAGCACAGUCGGCGCCCGGAGCUCUGGUGGGAUGGCGUCCAGCAAGCUAUAUUUUCAGGCUUGACCUCGGAUCAGGUAGGGAUACCCGCUGAACUUAAGC